Molecule: long non-coding RNA, 1667 nt
Organism: Myotis brandtii (Brandt's bat)
Lineage: Eukaryota; Metazoa; Chordata; Mammalia; Chiroptera; Vespertilionidae
Exons: 2
Source: RefSeq, a predicted model, not a curated record
CCCACCUGUGCCCAUUCUUCCUUCUCUCAGGAAGCAGGCCACGGCCAUUGUCUAUUGUUCCCCAGCUGGUCACACCAAUUGCCGGAGAAGAAGCCACAUGCCACAGCAAGCAAGGAGAAGGUGUCGGGGCUACAAACUUCCUGGGAAAAGUCCCUCUUUGUUUAGAAGGGAUGCCGGUUCCUUUCUAUGUUUCCAUUAGAGAACAAAACAGACACUUGGCCCAGAAGAGUGUGGGAUGAGAUGGAAACACAGAGGCUCAGAGAAAUGAGGUUGUCAGAGGUCACAUUCUACUUGGUAGAAGAGCCAGGACUCAAGUCCAGGCCACCUGGCCUUCCAACUACAACCACACCCCGUCUUGUGCAGUGAAAGCAGCAAAGGGGGUCUAGCUCAUGAUGCGGCUGCAGGAAUUGAGGCGGGUCCUCAGGCAUUAGGACCAUCUGCUGAAGCCCACACAGGAGGCAGAGGGGGGCCGAGUCAGGUUCCCCCAACAGUAAAUUCACUCAUUUGCACACACACCAAAAACCCUAAAUUGGAUUUUGUUUUUAAAUAAUUUGAUUACAUUUACCUAAUUAACACAAAGCUUGACAGUUGACUUUGCUAAUUCAAUUCUCCCAUCUGCCACUUCAGAAGUAACUGGUGAGGCCAAACAACAGAUAGAAUUUCUCCACCUCGGAGCGCACACGUGGUGUGGGUGAGGCCAGUGCACCGAACGGGGCAGAGUUGGCAUCAGCUGGCUCUACCACGUCCUUUGCCACCUGGUAAUGGUACACACACCCUGCAGGUCCCAAACCCAGGCAGCCUUUGGAGAAGACACUCGUUUGGGGAUCAGCACAAAUGAGGGUAUCCUGUCCUCUUCCUGUGUCUGCAGAAAUUCAGUCGGCUUUAUUCACAUCACAUCCUCAGGGGACAGUUUCCCAUGAGGCAGCAACUAGGGCUUUGGACCCAGCUGGGCAGAGGGGGUGGGGGCCCAUUUUCCAACGCUCAAGCAGCCUCCCUGGUCCCAUGUCACCGUGUGUGGGGCUGUGCCAAGGCAAACCUCCCAAUCAAAACCAUAGCUUUGAACCUUCCCAGAGGUGUUCUAAUCUGACCUCCUCAUUUCACGGAGAACGAAACUCAGGGCCCACAAGUAGAUGCUGGACCUACUGGCCAGAACCCAGACCGGGCAGGUGCUUUUCAACCCUGCACCACAAUGGCACCUUCUAGGGGCAGCAGCACGAAUCUGAGCUGGUUCUGCCCAGCAGCUGAAAGACCACGAGCAGCCUCUCCUAGCAGGGCAGGGCCUAAGCCAUCCCUCACCCUCACCUCCACUCCCACCCAUCUUGAUCUGUCAGUGAGAAGGGCUGGGCACGUGCCUGCUUGGGCAGGGAUGGACACUCGACCCAAGAGACUCCCAUCCCUUGGCUGGCUGGUUCUGAAGACUGGAGAGGACAGAUGAGCUCUUUGUCCAGGGACCCUGAGAGCUGGGGGCACUCAGCCAUGGGAAUAUGAGAGCCACAGGAUCACACAGCCUGGGGGACAAGGCUGCCAUGUUGGGUCAGGUACUAAGUCAGCAAGCAGUCCUUGAAAUAUGCAAAAAGAAACCUGACCUUUGUUCCUUAUUUUGCAUCCUCAUGGAGCCUGUCUUGAGAUGCCUAUUGUAACUGUGCAAUAAACCCCCCUUUACUGAA